UGGGGAAAUUGGGCAAUGGGCGAAAGCCUGACGCAGCGACGCCGCGUGAGGGAUGACGGCCUUCGGGUUGUAAACCUCUUUCAGCAGGGAAGAAGCGAAAGUGACGGUACCUGCAGAAGAAGCGCCGGCUAACUACGUGCCAGCAGCCGCGGUAAUAA
Molecule: ribosomal RNA, 158 nt
Filed under: uncultured bacterium
Lineage: Bacteria
Description: partial 16S ribosomal RNA
Rfam family: Bacterial small subunit ribosomal RNA
Source: RNAcentral